GGACAGAUGGCCGAGCUGGUUAUGGCGCUAGGUUAAGGUGUAUCUUAACAACGUUUCCUAGUCUCGAAAGGGGCGUGGGUUCGAGUCCCACUCUGUUCA
This 99-nucleotide transfer RNA is filed under the name Phialocephala subalpina. It matches the Rfam family "tRNA". Rfam says of the family: Transfer RNA (tRNA) molecules are approximately 80 nucleotides in length. Their secondary structure includes four short double-helical elements and three loops (D, anti-codon, and T loops). Further hydrogen bonds mediate the characteristic L-shaped molecular structure. tRNAs have two regions of fundamental functional importance: the anti-codon, which is responsible for specific mRNA codon recognition, and the 3' end, to which the tRNAs corresponding amino acid is attached (by aminoacyl-tRNA synthetases). tRNAs cope with the degeneracy of the genetic code in two manners: having more than one tRNA (with a specific anti-codon) for a particular amino acid; and 'wobble' base-pairing, i.e. permitting non-standard base-pairing at the 3rd anti-codon position. The record is from Rfam by way of RNAcentral. Lineage: Eukaryota; Fungi; Ascomycota; Leotiomycetes; Helotiales; Mollisiaceae.